This 309-nucleotide ribosomal RNA is filed under the name uncultured Bacteroidota bacterium. RNAcentral's name for it is "bacterial SSU rRNA". It matches the Rfam family "Bacterial small subunit ribosomal RNA", at positions 28 to 334 of the family's 1533-position model. The record is from RNAcentral. Lineage: Bacteria; Pseudomonadati; Bacteroidota.
GAUGAACGCUAGCGGCAGGCCUAAUACAUGCAAGUCGAGGGGCAGCAUUAGUACUUGUACUAGAUGGCGACCGGCGUACGGGUGCGUAACGCGUAUACAAUCUACCUAAUACUGGAAGAUAGCCCGGGGAAACUCGGAUUAAUAUUCCAUAAUAUCAUAGAUAGGCAUCUUGAAAUGAUUAAAGAUUUAUUGGUAUUAGAUGAGUAUGCGUCUGAUUAGUUAGUUGGUGAGGUAAUGGCUCACCAAGGCGACGAUCAGUAGGGGUUCUGAGAGGAUGAUCCCCCACACUGGCACUGAGAUACGGGCCAG